AUACGGAGGGGGUUAGCGUUGUUCGGAAUUACUGGGCGUACAGCGCACGUAGGCGGAUUGGAAAGUUGGGGGUGAAAUCCCAGGGCUCAACCCUGGAACUGCCUCCAAAACUAACAGUCUAGAGUUCGAGAGAGGUGAGUGGAAUUCCAAGUGUAGAGGUGAAAUUCGUAGAUAUUUGGAAGAACACCAGUGGCGAAGGCGGCUCACUGGCUCGAUACUGACGCUGGGGUGCGAAAGCGUGGGGAGCAAACAGGAUUAGAAACCCCAGUAGUCC
RNAcentral lists this ribosomal RNA (274 nucleotides) under uncultured bacterium. RNAcentral's name for it is "partial 16S ribosomal RNA". It matches the Rfam family "Bacterial small subunit ribosomal RNA", at positions 523 to 796 of the family's 1533-position model. The record is from RNAcentral.